RNAcentral lists this ribosomal RNA (450 nucleotides) under uncultured bacterium. RNAcentral's name for it is "partial 16S ribosomal RNA". It matches the Rfam family "Bacterial small subunit ribosomal RNA", at positions 354 to 796 of the family's 1533-position model. The record is from RNAcentral.
GUGGGGAAUAUUCCGCAAUGGACGAAAGUCUGACGGAGCAACGCCGCGUGAGUGAUGAAGGUUUUCGGACUGUAAAGCUCUGUUGUUUAGGACGAAAGUGCCUGUUGCGAACAGUUACAGGUAUUGACGGUACUAAACGAGGAAGCCACGGCUAACUACGUGCCAGCAGCCGCGGUAAUACGUAGGUGGCAAGCGUUGUCCGGAAUUAUUGGGCGUAAAGAGCAUGUAGGCGGAGAUUUAAGUCUGUUGUGAAAAUGCGGGGCUCAACCCCGUAUUGCGAUAGAAACUGAAUUUCUUGAGUGCAGGAGAGGAAAGGGGAAUUCCCAGUGUAGCGGUGAAAUGCGUAGAUAUUGGGAGGAACACCAGUGGCGAAGGCGCCUUUCUGGACUGUGUCUGACGCUGAGAUGCGAAAGCCAGGGUAGCGAACGGGAUUAGAAACCCCAGUAGUCC